This 358-nucleotide ribosomal RNA is filed under the name Cardinium endosymbiont of Sepsis punctum. RNAcentral's name for it is "bacterial SSU rRNA". It matches the Rfam family "Bacterial small subunit ribosomal RNA", at positions 513 to 871 of the family's 1533-position model. The record is from RNAcentral. Lineage: Bacteria; Pseudomonadati; Bacteroidota; Cytophagia; Cytophagales; Amoebophilaceae.
AGCGCGGUAUACGGAGGGUGCGAGCGUUGUCCGGAUUUAUUGGGUUUAAAGGGUGCGUAGGCGGCCAUUUAAGUCAGCGGUGAAAGUCUGUGGCUCAACCAUGGAACUGCCGUUGAUACUGGGUGGCUUGAGUGUUGGUGGGGUACAUGGAAUUUAUGGUGUAGCGGUGAAAUGCAUAGAUACCAUAAGGAACACCGAUAGCGAAGGCAUUGUACUUACCAACAACUGACGCUGAGGCACGAAAGCGCGGGUAUCGAACAGGAUUAGAUACCCUGGUAGUCCGCGCCGUAAACGAUGAUCACUCGCUGUCAUGCCUAUAUGGUGUGGUGGCCAAGCGAAAGCGUUAAGUGAUCACACA